Molecule: non-coding RNA, 851 nt
Organism: Lepisosteus oculatus (spotted gar)
Lineage: Eukaryota; Metazoa; Chordata; Actinopteri; Semionotiformes; Lepisosteidae
Source: RefSeq, a predicted model, not a curated record
GGACCGGGUCGCUGCAAAGCCUUUAAAUAGCGAGUUUGGAAGCAACGAAAGUUUCUCAAAUUUACCGUUUAACUGGAGCUGCAGGAUUCUGGGCUAAGCCUGUCGGUUUUUCUCGAACCGGGUGGAAGACGUAGUAAAAUGGGGUUUAAACGUAAAGAUGUCGGAGCUACUGGGCGGGCUGCGUUUUGUGGCUUGGACUCUGCGAAGUGAAACGUGGUAUUAAAACUGUGCUUACAACUGUUUUUACAGUGCUAGUUCUCCUUUCUGUAGUUUUACCUGCACGAUAUGCUUUUUUUGUAUUCCAGGUUUCUGCUGUAUCUUGGUGAGUCGCUGGGUUUUAACCGGCGGCAGUUGGGUCCUUCACCGCCUGCAGACCUGAUCGCAGAUCCGUGUAGUGAGUGACCGGAGCUCCGCGGCGGAUUCACAGUUGCAGGUCCGGCUGGGUUUUCCUUCUCCUGAACCGGUUUGCUGGAAGUCGCACCGACCGCUGUGUAGCUUCAACUGGGGGCGAACUUGUGACUUACCGGUAACAGACCGCAGGAAACUGCACCCAGCCGUGUGAGACCAGGUGUGAAGACUGAAACCCCCGCAACCGAGCAAAGCACCUGUACCAGGAGAGUAGCGAGGUAUCAGCCGGACCUCCCCAUCACCGCCAUCCUCCGGCCGGGACGCCGGCCUGCACAGAACCGCCCCGUAUUUAUAACCUGAGUCCUGCUGAGCGCGAAAAGGACGACGAAGGUAGCUAAUCAAGACACCGGGGACGGAGAUGAGACUCUGGAUAUCCGUGCAAUAACACCGCUGCAUAUUGUAAUUGUUUCUUAUGCUGUAAUAAACUGCUGUGAAUGUGUUAA